CCUACGGGAGGCAGCAGUGGGGAAUCUUGCGCAAUGGACGAAAGUCUGACGCAGCCAUGCCGCGUGAAUGAUGAAGGUCUUAGGAUUGUAAAGUUCUUUAGCCUGUGACGAUGAUGACGGUAACAGGAGAAUAAGCCCCGGCUAACUUCGUGCCAGCAGCCGCGGUAAUACGAAGGGGGCUAGCGUUGUUCGGAAUUACUGGGCGUAAAGCGCGCGUAGGCGGUUAUGCAAGCCAGAGGUGAAAUGCCUGAGCUCAACUUAGGAAUUGCCUUUGGAACUGCAUGGCUUUGAGGACGAGAGAGGUGAGUGGAAUUCCCAGUGUAGAGGUGAAAUUCGUAGAUAUUGGGAAGAACACCGGUGGCGAAGGCGGCUCACUGGCUCGUUUCUGACGCUGUAGCGCGAAAGCGUGGGGAUCAAACAGGAUUAGAUACCCUGGUAGUCCACGCUGUAAACGAUGAGUGCUAGGCGUUGGCACGCUUGCGUGUCAGUGCCGCNGCGNGCGCGNGAGCGACGCCGCCGUGGGUAGGUACGGUUCGCGAGAGUUAAACGUACAAGAGAGUGACGGCGNGAGAGNGCGACGGCGACGACGAGGGAGGAGG
RNAcentral lists this ribosomal RNA (599 nucleotides) under uncultured bacterium. Its description in RNAcentral is "bacterial SSU rRNA". The stretch from base 1 to 518 matches the Rfam family "Bacterial small subunit ribosomal RNA", at positions 338 to 873 of the family's 1533-position model. The record is from RNAcentral.